This 435-nucleotide ribosomal RNA is filed under the name uncultured bacterium. RNAcentral's name for it is "bacterial SSU rRNA". It matches the Rfam family "Bacterial small subunit ribosomal RNA", at positions 29 to 506 of the family's 1533-position model. The record is from RNAcentral.
AUGAACGCUGGCGGCGUGUCUAAGACAUGCAAGUCGAACGGGGCCCUUCGGGGUUCAGUGGCGGACGGGUGAGUAACACGUGGGAAUCUGCUCAAUAGUGGGGGACAGCCCGGCGAAAGCCGGAUUAAUACCGCAUACGCCCUACGGGGGAAAGGCGCAAGCCGCUAUUGGAUGAGCCCGCGUAAGAUUAGCUAGUUGGUGAGGUAAAGGCCCACCAAGGCAACGAUCUUUAGCUGGUCUGAGAGGAUGGCCAGCCACAUCGGGACUGAGAAACGGCCCGGACUCCUACGGGAGGCAGCAGUCGGGAAAAUUGGACAAUGGGCGCAAGCCUGAUCCAGCAAUACCGCGUGUGUGAAGAAGGCCUGCGGGUUGUAAAGCACUUUCAGUGGGGAAGAUAAUGACGUUACCCACAGAGGAAGCACCGGCUAACUCCGU